Astatotilapia calliptera (eastern happy) is the source of this 381-nucleotide long non-coding RNA. Lineage: Eukaryota; Metazoa; Chordata; Actinopteri; Cichliformes; Cichlidae. The record is from Ensembl.
CAACAUUUCCUGUUGUGGAAGCCAUUACUCACGAGGCAACCGCUACUCACGAGGCAACCGCCAAAUUAGCUGAAAGAUCCUGGAUCUGAGAUCUGUGAAAUACGGCCGUGGGAAGCUGCGUCAGCUGGACGAGCUAUCUCACCACGAGCUCCGAUUGGUUUUUGACCAGGACUGGAUCAUUUGAGAUCUGAACCCUGUGGGUUCAGUGGCGAGCCAAUCCCAAGAGAGUGACUGUCGACGGACCCGAGUGCGGUGUGGCCAGCCGUGGGAUCCAUCUUCAGCGAACCUCAGGACUAUUACUACCUUCCUUGAUACAGAUAAGACUAACACUUUAAAAAUCUACCCGGGUAGUGUUAGAACCAAUGGACAGAAACACACACA